GACGAACGCUGGCGGCGUGCCUAACACAUGCAAGUCGCACGGGACCCGCAAGGGUUCAGUGGCGGACGGGUGCGUAACACGUGAGGAACAUGCCCAUCGGCGGGGGAUAGCCGGCCCAACGGCCGGGUAAUACCGCGUACGCUCAUUCGGGGGCAUCCCCGGAUGAGGAAAGCAGCAAUGCACCGAUGGAGUGCCUCGCGGCCUAUCAGCUAGUUGGUGGGGUCAUGGCCCACCAAGGCGACGACGGGUAGCUGGUCUGAGAGGAUGAUCAGCCACAUUGGGACUGAGACACGGCCCAGACUCCUACGGGAGGCAGCAGUGGGGAAUCUUGCGCAAUGGCCGAAAGGCUGACGCAGCGACGCCGCGUGUGGGAUGACGGCCUGGUGUAACACUGUCGGAGGACGAAGUAGCCCGC
This 415-nucleotide ribosomal RNA is filed under the name uncultured bacterium. Its description in RNAcentral is "bacterial SSU rRNA". It matches the Rfam family "Bacterial small subunit ribosomal RNA", at positions 28 to 458 of the family's 1533-position model. The record is from RNAcentral.